RNAcentral lists this ribosomal RNA (482 nucleotides) under uncultured bacterium. RNAcentral's name for it is "partial 16S ribosomal RNA". It matches the Rfam family "Bacterial small subunit ribosomal RNA", at positions 30 to 505 of the family's 1533-position model. The record is from RNAcentral.
AUUGAACGCUGGCGGCAGGCCUAACACAUGCAAGUCGAGCGGAUGAAGGGAGCUUGCUCCUGGAUUCAGCGGCGGACGGGUGAGUAAUGCCUAGGAAUCUGCCUGGUAGUGGGGGAUAACGUCCGGAAACGGGCGCUAAUACCGCAUACGUCCUGAGGGAGAAAGUGGGGGAUCUUCGGACCUCACGCUAUCAGAUGAGCCUAGGUCGGAUUAGCUAGUUGGUGGGGUAAAGGCCUAACAAGGCGACGAUCCGUAACUGGUCUGAGAGGAUGAUCAGUCACACUGGAACUGAGACACGGUCCAGACUCCUACGGGAGGCAGCAGUGGGGAAUAUUGGACAAUGGGCGAAAGGCUGAUCCAGCCAUGCCGCGUGUGUGAAGAAGGUCUUCGGAUUGUAAAGCACUUUAAGUUGGGAGGAAGGGCAGUAAGUUAAUACCUUGCUGUUUUGACGUUACCAACAGAAUAAGCACCGGCUAACUUCG